AGAAUCUGAAGUAGAGAACUCCCGCAGCAGACAUCUCACAGUACAUUACAACAGAGCCCCAGUGCAGGAAGAGGCAGAAGCAAGCCUGGGUUUGGCCUGUGGCUGCUCACAGUGAGGUGACCACCAUGUUUCUGACACCUUCAGAGAAAGGGAGUUUCGCCUCGUUCAGAUUCAACACUGACAGCUGGAAAAGUUCUCAGAGUCAUCUACAUGGAUUGGGAGACAGUGUGCUGAGGAAAGAUUCCAUGAUCACCUACCUGCCAUGACGCCUGGAGGCUGGUUUCGACAAUAAAGACCGCUCCUUA
This is a long non-coding RNA of Mesocricetus auratus (golden hamster), 305 nucleotides long. RefSeq lists it as uncharacterized. NCBI's taxonomy places the organism in Eukaryota, Metazoa, Chordata, Mammalia, Rodentia, Cricetidae. The transcript is spliced from 3 exons. The record is from RefSeq and is a predicted model, not a curated record.